UACGAAGGGGGCUAGCGUUGCUCGGAAUCACUGGGCGUAAAGGGUGCGUAGGCGGGUCUUUAAGUCAGGGGGGAAAUCCUGGAGCUCAACUCCAGAACUGCCUUUGAUACUGAAGAUCUUGAGUUCGGGAGAGGUGAGUGGAACUGCGAGUGUAGAGGUGAAAUUCGUAGAUAUUCGCAAGAACACCAGUGGCGAAGGCGGCUCACUGGCCCGAUACUGACGCUGAGGCACGAAAGCGUGGGGAGCAAGCAGG
RNAcentral lists this ribosomal RNA (253 nucleotides) under uncultured bacterium. RNAcentral describes it as "partial 16S ribosomal RNA". It matches the Rfam family "Bacterial small subunit ribosomal RNA", at positions 524 to 776 of the family's 1533-position model. The record is from RNAcentral.